GGCUGGUCCGAAGGUAGUGAGUUAUCUCACUUGAUUUUUCAGUCAGUUACAGAUUGAACUCCUUGUUCUACUACUUAACCCCCCUCCUCACUACUGCACUUGACUAGUCUUAA
RNAcentral lists this Y RNA (113 nucleotides) under Propithecus coquereli (Coquerel's sifaka). RNAcentral's name for it is "Y RNA (ENSPCOG00000005375.1)". It matches the Rfam family "Y RNA". From Rfam's summary of the family: Y RNAs are components of the Ro ribonucleoprotein particle (Ro RNP), in association with Ro60 and La proteins. The Y RNAs and Ro60 and La proteins are well conserved, but the function of the Ro RNP is not known. The record is from Rfam by way of RNAcentral. Lineage: Eukaryota; Metazoa; Chordata; Mammalia; Primates; Indriidae.